This 405-nucleotide ribosomal RNA is filed under the name uncultured bacterium. Its description in RNAcentral is "partial 16S ribosomal RNA". It matches the Rfam family "Bacterial small subunit ribosomal RNA", at positions 28 to 526 of the family's 1533-position model. The record is from RNAcentral.
GAUGAACGCUAGCUACAGGCCUAACACAUGCAAGUCGAGGGACCGGCGCACGGGUGAGUAACACGUAUCCAACCUGCCCUUUACUCGGGGAUAGCCUUUCGAAAGAAAGAUUAAUACCCGAUAUAAAGGAUGGGGAUGCGUUCCAUUAGGUUGUUGGUGAGGCAACGGCACCCCAAGCAUUCGAUGGAUAGGGGUUCUGUGAGGAAGGUGCCCCACAUUGGAACGGGGUCACGGUCCAAACGCGUGCGGGAGGUAGCGGUGAGGGAUCUUGGUCAGUGGGCGCUAGCCUGAACCGGCGAAGUAGCGUGAAGGAUGAAGGCUUGUGGGUCGUAAACUUCUUGUAUAUAGGAAUAUGUAUUAUAUGAAUAAGGAUCGGCUAACUCCGGGCAAGCAGCCGCGUAAUAC